GGGGCGCAGGGGUUGGCGAGCGGAGGUUGUAGGCAUCAGCGGUGCUGGAGGUGAGCACGACGAGAUGGCCCUCCGGCUUCAAGAUCCGCGCGGCCUCACCGACAAGGUCGGCCAGACGCUUUAACGAAUCGAGGGCGAGGCCGACGAAGACCAGGUCGAUGACGGCCGGUGAAGACGACUUCGACGGAGGAGUCGGAGAUCGGCAGUCGGCGUUCGUCGCAGGCGAUAGCGAGCGAGCGGGAGCGCCUCUUUGCGAUGGCGACGGGCCCGGUCAGUCUGAGAUCCCGCAGCACGAGCGCCUCCUAGGGAGGUUACUCACCAGCGACCUCGAGUGAUGCAGCUGGCCGAGAGGGCGGGGCGUGCUGGCGCAGAGGCGGAUCUCGGCGGCGCCCGCGCGACAUGGGUGGAGAGAUUUUUCUUCGUGCGAAUGCGGGGCUGCGGUUGGUUUUCGGAGGGUAAAUAAAAAAAGGGACGACGUGGGUGGGAGGUAGCGAUAGGAGAGGUG
Molecule: long non-coding RNA, 505 nt
Filed under: Hordeum vulgare
Lineage: Eukaryota; Viridiplantae; Streptophyta; Magnoliopsida; Poales; Poaceae
Description: long non-coding RNA (HVUL_LNC014054)
Source: RNAcentral